This 254-nucleotide ribosomal RNA is filed under the name uncultured bacterium. RNAcentral describes it as "partial 16S ribosomal RNA". It matches the Rfam family "Bacterial small subunit ribosomal RNA", at positions 524 to 776 of the family's 1533-position model. The record is from RNAcentral.
GACGUAGGGUCCGAGCGUUAUCCGGAAUUACUGGGCGUAAAGCGUGGGUAGGUGGCCUCAUAAGUCUGUUGUUAAAGCCUUCGGCUCAACCGAAGAACCGCAAUGGAUACUGUGAGGCUUAGAGGCUAGCAGGGGUACAUGGAAUUCCCGGUGUAGGGGUGAAAUCCGUUGAUAUCGGGAAGAACACCAGUGGCGAAGGCGAUGUACUAGGCUAGAGCUGACACUGAUCCACGAAAGCGUGGGGAGCGAAACGG